This 539-nucleotide ribosomal RNA is filed under the name uncultured Massilia sp. RNAcentral's name for it is "bacterial SSU rRNA". It matches the Rfam family "Bacterial small subunit ribosomal RNA", at positions 84 to 619 of the family's 1533-position model. Lineage: Bacteria; Pseudomonadati; Pseudomonadota; Betaproteobacteria; Burkholderiales; Oxalobacteraceae. The record is from RNAcentral.
CCUGGCGGCGAGUGGCGAACGGGUGAGUAAUAUAUCGGAACGUACCCAAGAGUGGGGGAUAACGUAGCGAAAGUUACGCUAAUACCGCAUACGAUCUAAGGAUGAAAGCAGGGGACCGCAAGGCCUUGUGCUCCUGGAGCGGCCGAUAUCUGAUUAGCUAGUUGGUAGGGUAAAGGCCUACCAAGGCUACGAUCAGUAGCUGGUCUGAGAGGACGACCAGCCACACUGGAACUGAGACACGGUCCAGACUCCUACGGGAGGCGGCAGUGGGGAAUUUUGGACAAUGGGCGCAAGCCUGAUCCAGCAAUGCCGCGUGAGUGAAGAAGGCCUUCGGGUUGUAAAGCUCUUUUGUCAGGGAAGAAACGGUGAGGGCUAAUACCUUUCACUAAUGACGGUACCUGAAGAAUAAGCACCGGCUAACUACGUGCCAGCAGCCGCGGUAAUACGUAGGGUGCAAGCGUUAAUCGGAAUUACUGGGCGUAAAGCGUGCGCAGGCGGUUUUGUAAGUCUGUCGUGAAAUCCCCGGGCUCAACCUGGGA